UAUUUCAAAAGUUGCAUAUGACAAGAUUUGUUCCAUUGUAAAUGCAUCUUUUGAGAUAGA
Molecule: microRNA precursor, 60 nt
Filed under: Strongyloides ratti
Lineage: Eukaryota; Metazoa; Nematoda; Chromadorea; Rhabditida; Strongyloididae
Description: microRNA str-mir-8390 precursor
Source: miRBase by way of RNAcentral